This 253-nucleotide ribosomal RNA is filed under the name uncultured bacterium. RNAcentral's name for it is "partial 16S ribosomal RNA". It matches the Rfam family "Bacterial small subunit ribosomal RNA", at positions 524 to 776 of the family's 1533-position model. The record is from RNAcentral.
UACAGAGGUCUCAAGCGUUGUUCGGAUUCAUUGGGCGUAAAGGGUGCGUAGGCGGGUUUUUAAGUCAGGGGUGAAAUCCUGGAGCUCAACUCCAGAACUGCCUUUGAUACUGAAGAUCUCGAGUCCGGGAGAGGUGAGUGGAACUGCGAGUGUAGAGGUGAAAUUCGUAGAUAUUCGCAAGAACACCAGUGGCGAAGGCGGCUCACUGGCCCGGUACUGACGCUGAGGCACGAAAGCGUGGGGGGCAAACAGG